RNAcentral lists this ribosomal RNA (253 nucleotides) under uncultured bacterium. RNAcentral's name for it is "partial 16S ribosomal RNA". It matches the Rfam family "Bacterial small subunit ribosomal RNA", at positions 524 to 776 of the family's 1533-position model. The record is from RNAcentral.
UACGUAGGGUGCGAGCGUUGUCCGGAAUUAUUGGGCGUAAAGGGCUCGUAGGCGGUUUGUCGCGUCGGGAGUGAAAAUCCAGGGCUUAACUCUGGACUGGCUUCCGAUACGGGCGGACUAGAGGUAUGCAGGGGAGAACGGAAUUCCUGGUGUAGCGGUGAAAUGCGCAGAUAUCAGGAGGAACACCGGUGGCGAAGGCGGUUCUCUGGGCAUUACCUGACGCUGAGGAGCGAAAGUGUGGGGAGCGAACAGG